This 241-nucleotide ribosomal RNA is filed under the name Dentipellis sp. RNAcentral's name for it is "partial large subunit ribosomal RNA". Lineage: Eukaryota; Fungi; Basidiomycota; Agaricomycetes; Russulales; Hericiaceae. The record is from RNAcentral.
AAACGCUUGAAGUCAGUCGCGUUUGUCAGAACUCAGCCUUGCAUUUGCUUGGUGUACUUUCUGGUGAACGGGCCAGCAUCAAUUUUGACCGCUGGAUAAUGGCAAGGGGAAGGUGGCACCCUCGGGUGUGUUAUAGCCUCUUGUCGCAUACAGUGGUUGGGAUUGAGGAAUUCAGCAUGCCUUUAUGGUCGGGGUUCGCCCACGUUCAUGCUUAGGAUGCUGGCGUAAUGGCUUUAAACGA